This 193-nucleotide ribosomal RNA is filed under the name Escherichia coli. RNAcentral's name for it is "partial 16S ribosomal RNA". It matches the Rfam family "Bacterial small subunit ribosomal RNA", at positions 1 to 187 of the family's 1533-position model. The record is from RNAcentral. Lineage: Bacteria; Pseudomonadati; Pseudomonadota; Gammaproteobacteria; Enterobacterales; Enterobacteriaceae. RNAcentral also lists the same sequence under 1 other name.
AAAUUGAAGAGUUUGAUCAUGGCUCAGAUUGAACGCUGGCGGCAGGCCUAACACAUGCAAGUCGAACGGUAACAGGAAGCAGCUUGCUGCUUCGCUGACGAGUGGCGGACGGGUGAGUAAUGUCUGGGAAACUGCCUGAUGGAGGGGGAUAACUACUGGAAACGGUAGCUAAUACCGCAUAACGUCGCAAGAC